GACGAACGCUGGCGGCGUGCUUAACACAUGCAAGUCGAACGGAAAGGCCCUGCUUUUGUGGUGUGCUCGAGUGGCGAACGGGUGAGUAACACGUGAGUAACCUGCCCUUGACUUUGGGAUAACUUCAGGAAACUGGGGCUAAUACCGGAUAGGAGCUCCUGCUGCAUGGUGGGGGUUGGAAAGUUUCGGCGGUUGGGGAUGGACUCGCGGCUUAUCAGCUUGUUGGUGGGGUAGUGGCUUACCAAGGCUUUGACGGGUAGCCGGCCUGAGAGGGGGACCGGCCAAAUUGGGACUGGGGUACGGCCCAGACUCCUACGGGAGGCAGAGGGGGGGAAAAUUGAAAAAGGGGCGGAAGCCUGAGGAAGCAACGCCGGGUGCGGGAUGACGGCCUUCGGGUUGUAAACCGCUUUCGCCGGGGACGAAGCGUGAGUGACGGUAAUGGGUAAAGAAGCACCGGCUAACUACGUG
Molecule: ribosomal RNA, 468 nt
Filed under: uncultured bacterium
Lineage: Bacteria
Description: partial 16S ribosomal RNA
Rfam family: Bacterial small subunit ribosomal RNA
Source: RNAcentral